GUGAAAUAACAGUGCAGUCCUUCUUUGGCACAGAGAAGAACAUGGCUUACUUAAAACUUCUGGCUUUGCCAAAGGAGAAUUGCCCUGCCAUUCACUCCUGCAGUUACCAUAUUUAUAUAUGCUACACUUCUCCAUUAUUGCUUGCUCCUUUCCUUGAAAUGCAGCUAUUAUCAGUUUGACAAAUUUCCAAGGCAAGGAACUGAGGGUUUAAACAAAAUAUGAAUGCUGAUAUGGUUAGAAGCCGAAGGAAGUAUGAGAAUGAAUCUUGUCAUUUCACCACUUCUCUAAACAUCAUCAGGCUCAAUGGAACUCUCAGCAUGAUGUUAACGUUGCUUCAUCAUCAGACUAUCAUCUCUAGAUUCUUCUGAUCCAGGAGAGUCAUCGCUGAUUAGUUACAGCUCAAGCAUUUGGUGUGUUCAUCACCCUCCACAACCCAUAUACUGUUCAACACUAAGUUAAUUGUUCCUAGGAUUACCCUUUCCAUCUUAGAGAUGCCAGCUGCAUCAAGAAUCCCUCCAUAGGUGAAUCAAUGCCAAUUUCUCCAGUUUUAAGUCUGUUUUAAGAUAGGGAAAGACUAUGUAUGUUAUUUGUGCUUGGCAGUUGGCAAUCAGUUCACUGUAUCAGCUGAACAGGGAACUGGUUCUGUUUAUCGACCAAAGGAAAUAAAAAGAGAAGAAACUGCUCAA
Molecule: long non-coding RNA, 686 nt
Organism: Gossypium raimondii (Peruvian cotton)
Lineage: Eukaryota; Viridiplantae; Streptophyta; Magnoliopsida; Malvales; Malvaceae
Exons: 2
Source: RefSeq, a predicted model, not a curated record